GGGUUGUGAGGUUAAGCGACUAAGCGUACACGGUGGAUGCCCUGGCAGUCAGAGGCGAUGAAGGACGUGCUAAUCUGCGAUAAGCGUCGGUAAGGUGAUAUGAACCGUUAUAACCGGCGAUUUCCGAAUGGGGAAACCCAGUGUGUUUCGACACACUAUCAUUAACUGAAUCCAUAGGUUAAUGAGGCGAACCGGGGGAACUGAAACAUCUAAGUACCCCGAGGAAAAGAAAUCAACCGAGAUUCCCCCAGUAGCGGCGAGCGAACGGGGAGCAGCCCAGAGCCUGAAUCAGUGUGUGUGUUAGUGGAAGCGUCUGGAAAGGCGCGCGAUACAGGGUGACAGCCCCGUACACAAAAAUGCACAUAUUGUGAGCUCGAUGAGUAGGGCGGGACACGUGGUAUCCUGUCUGAAUAUGGGGGGACCAUCCUCCAAGGCUAAAUACUCCUGACUGACCGAUAGUGAACCAGUACCGUGAGGGAAAGGCGAAAAGAACCCCGGCGAGGGGAGUGAAAAAGAACCUGAAACCGUGUACGUACAAGCAGUGGGAGCACGCUUAGGCGUGUGACUGCGUACCUUUUGUAUAAUGGGUCAGCGACUUAUAUUCUGUAGCAAGGUUAACCGAAUAGGGGAGCCGAAGGGAAACCGAGUCUUAACUGGGCGUUAAGUUGCAGGGUAUAGACCCGAAACCCGGUGAUCUAGCCAUGGGCAGGUUGAAGGUUGGGUAACACUAACUGGAGGACCGAACCGACUAAUGUUGAAAAAUUAGCGGAUGACUUGUGGCUGGGGGUGAAAGGCCAAUCAAACCGGGAGAUAGCUGGUUCUCCCCGAAAGCUAUUUAGGUAGCGCCUCGUGAAUUCAUCUCCGGGGGUAGAGCACUGUUUCGGCAAGGGGGUCAUCCCGACUUACCAACCCGAUGCAAACUGCGAAUACCGGAGAAUGUUAUCACGGGAGACACACGGCGGGUGCUAACGUCCGUCGUGAAGAGGGAAACAACCCAGACCGCCAGCUAAGGUCCCAAAGUCAUGGUUAAGUGGGAAACGAUGUGGGAAGGCCCAGACAGCCAGGAUGUUGGCUUAGAAGCAGCCAUCAUUUAAAGAAAGCGUAAUAGCUCACUGGUCGAGUCGGCCUGCGCGGAAGAUGUAACGGGGCUAAACCAUGCACCGAAGCUGCGGCAGCGACGCUUAUGCGUUGUUGGGUAGGGGAGCGUUCUGUAAGCCUGCGAAGGUGUGCUGUGAGGCAUGCUGGAGGUAUCAGAAGUGCGAAUGCUGACAUAAGUAACGAUAAAGCGGGUGAAAAGCCCGCUCGCCGGAAGACCAAGGGUUCCUGUCCAACGUUAAUCGGGGCAGGGUGAGUCGACCCCUAAGGCGAGGCCGAAAGGCGUAGUCGAUGGGAAACAGGUUAAUAUUCCUGUACUUGGUGUUACUGCGAAGGGGGGACGGAGAAGGCUAUGUUGGCCGGGCGACGGUUGUCCCGGUUUAAGCGUGUAGGCUGGUUUUCCAGGCAAAUCCGGAAAAUCAAGGCUGAGGCGUGAUGACGAGGCACUACGGUGCUGAAGCAACAAAUGCCCUGCUUCCAGGAAAAGCCUCUAAGCAUCAGGUAACAUCAAAUCGUACCCCAAACCGACACAGGUGGUCAGGUAGAGAAUACCAAGGCGCUUGAGAGAACUCGGGUGAAGGAACUAGGCAAAAUGGUGCCGUAACUUCGGGAGAAGGCACGCUGAUAUGUAGGUGAAGUCCCUUGCGGAUGGAGCUGAAAUCAGUCGAAGAUACCAGCUGGCUGCAACUGUUUAUUAAAAACACAGCACUGUGCAAACACGAAAGUGGACGUAUACGGUGUGACGCCUGCCCGGUGCCGGAAGGUUAAUUGAUGGGGUUAGCGCAAGCGAAGCUCUUGAUCGAAGCCCCGGUAAACGGCGGCCGUAACUAUAACGGUCCUAAGGUAGCGAAAUUCCUUGUCGGGUAAGUUCCGACCUGCACGAAUGGCGUAAUGAUGGCCAGGCUGUCUCCACCCGAGACUCAGUGAAAUUGAACUCGCUGUGAAGAUGCAGUGUACCCGCGGCAAGACGGAAAGACCCCGUGAACCUUUACUAUAGCUUGACACUGAACAUUGAGCCUUGAUGUGUAGGAUAGGUGGGAGGCUUUGAAGUGUGGACGCCAGUCUGCAUGGAGCCGACCUUGAAAUACCACCCUUUAAUGUUUGAUGUUCUAACGUUGACCCGUGAUCCGGGUUGCGGACAGUGUCUGGUGGGUAGUUUGACUGGGGCGGUCUCCUCCUAAAGAGUAACGGAGGAGCACGAAGGUUGGCUAAUCCUGGUCGGACAUCAGGAGGUUAGUGCAAUGGCAUAAGCCAGCUUGACUGCGAGCGUGACGGCGCGAGCAGGUGCGAAAGCAGGUCAUAGUGAUCCGGUGGUUCUGAAUGGAAGGGCCAUCGCUCAACGGAUAAAAGGUACUCCGGGGAUAACAGGCUGAUACCGCCCAAGAGUUCAUAUCGACGGCGGUGUUUGGCACCUCGAUGUCGGCUCAUCACAUCCUGGGGCUGAAGUAGGUCCCAAGGGUAUGGCUGUUCGCCAUUUAAAGUGGUACGCGAGCUGGGUUUAGAACGUCGUGAGACAGUUCGGUCCCUAUCUGCCGUGGGCGCUGGAGAACUGAGGGGGGCUGCUCCUAGUACGAGAGGACCGGAGUGGACGCAUCACUGGUGUUCGGGUUGUCAUGCCAAUGGCACUGCCCGGUAGCUAAAUGCGGAAGAGAUAAGUGCUGAAAGCAUCUAAGCACGAAACUUGCCCCGAGAUGAGUUCUCCCUGACUCCUUGAGAGUCCUGAAGGAACGUUGAAGACGACGACGUUGAUAGGCCGGGUGUGUAAGCGCAGCGAUGCGUUGAGCUAACCGGUACUAAUGAACCGUGAGGCUUAACCUUACAACGCCGAAG
Molecule: ribosomal RNA, 2925 nt
Filed under: Escherichia coli
Lineage: Bacteria; Pseudomonadati; Pseudomonadota; Gammaproteobacteria; Enterobacterales; Enterobacteriaceae
Description: 23S ribosomal RNA
Rfam family: Bacterial large subunit ribosomal RNA
Source: RNAcentral